RNAcentral lists this ribosomal RNA (550 nucleotides) under uncultured bacterium. RNAcentral's name for it is "bacterial SSU rRNA". It matches the Rfam family "Bacterial small subunit ribosomal RNA", at positions 355 to 896 of the family's 1533-position model. The record is from RNAcentral.
UAGGGAAUCUUCGGCAAUGGGGGCAACCCUGACCGAGCAACGCCGCGUGAGUGAAGAAGGUUUUCGGAUCGUAAAGCUCUGUUGUAAGAGAAGAACGAGUGUGAGAGUGGAAAGUUCACACUGUGACGGUAACUUNNNAGAAAGGGACGGCUAACUACGUGCCAGCAGCCGCGGUAAUACGUAGGUCCCGAGCGUUAUCCGGAUUUAUUGGGCGUAAAGCGAGCGCAGGCGGUUAGAUAAGUCUGAAGUUAAAGGCUGUGGCUUAACCAUAGUACGCUUUGGAAACUGUUUAACUUGAGUGCAGAAGGGGAGAGUGGAAUUCCAUGUGUAGCGGUGAAAUGCGUAGAUAUAUGGAGGAACACCGGUGGCGAAAGCGGCUCUCUGGUCUGUAACUGACGCUGAGGCUCGAAAGCGUGGGGAGCAAACAGGAUUAGAUACCCUGGUAGUCCACGCCGUAAACGAUGAGUGCUAGGUGUUGGGUCCUUUCCGGGACUCAGUGCCGCAGCUAACGCAUUAAGCACUCCGCCUGGGGAGUACGACCGCAAGGUUG